This is an RNA transcript of Symphalangus syndactylus (siamang), 8536 nucleotides long. It is a transcript of the gene named DEP domain containing 5, GATOR1 subcomplex subunit, with no coding region annotated. NCBI's taxonomy places the organism in Eukaryota, Metazoa, Chordata, Mammalia, Primates, Hylobatidae. The record is from RefSeq and is a predicted model, not a curated record.
UGGUGCGGCCACCGAGACGAGACGGAGGCCCGGCGAGAGCGGCGCGGGGGCGCGAGGGCGGGAAGGAGGCGGGGCCCCGGGGCGGAGUCACUGGAGCGGCGCGGGUUCUCAGGGAGGCAAGAUGACUUCUCUGCCCCAAGCUUGGAACAGCUAAAGGGAAAAACAGUGCAAGAUGAGAACAACAAAGGUCUACAAACUCGUCAUCCACAAGAAGGGCUUUGGGGGCAGUGAUGAUGAGCUAGUUGUGAACCCCAAAGUGUUCCCUCACAUCAAGCUUGGAGACAUUGUAGAGAUUGCACACCCCAACGAUGAAUACAGCCCUCUGCUUUUGCAGGUCAAAUCACUUAAGGAAGAUUUACAGAAGGAAACUAUCAGUGUGGACCAGACUGUGACUCAAGUGUUCCGGCUGAGACCUUAUCAGGAUGUCUAUGUUAAUGUCGUAGACCCUAAGGAUGUGACCCUUGACCUAGUGGAAUUAACUUUUAAGGAUCAGUAUAUUGGCCGUGGGGAUAUGUGGCGACUAAAGAAAAGUUUGGUCAGCACAUGUGCCUAUAUCACCCAGAAGGUGGAGUUUGCUGGCAUCAGAGCACAGGCUGGUGAGCUGUGGGUUAAGAAUGAGAAGGUCAUGUGUGGUUACAUCAGUGAAGAUACCAGGGUGGUGUUUCGUUCUACGUCGGCUAUGGUUUACAUAUUUAUUCAGAUGAGCUGUGAAAUGUGGGAUUUUGAUAUUUAUGGGGAUUUGUAUUUUGAGAAAGCUGUGAAUGGUUUCCUUGCUGAUCUAUUUACCAAGUGGAAGGAGAAGAACUGUAGUCAUGAAGUGACAGUGGUCCUGUUUUCUAGAACUUUCUAUGAUGCAAAAUCUGUUGAUGAAUUUCCUGAAAUAAACCGAGCCUCAAUUCUACAGGAUCACAAGGGGAGAUUCUAUGAAGACUUUUACAAAGUGGUGGUGCAGAAUGAGAGAAGAGAAGAAUGGACUUCACUUCUCGUAACCAUUAAAAAACUCUUCAUCCAGUAUCCAGUGUUGGUGCGACUGGAACAGGCAGAGGGCUUUCCUCAAGGAGACAAUUCUACCUCAGCACAAGGAAACUACCUGGAGGCCAUCAAUCUGUCAUUCAAUGUGUUUGAUAAGCACUACAUCAACCGCAACUUUGACCGAACUGGGCAGAUGUCAGUGGUGAUCACGCCCGGGGUGGGUGUCUUUGAAGUGGACCGCCUACUCAUGAUCCUGACCAAGCAGCGGAUGAUAGAUAAUGGAAUUGGUGUGGACUUGGUGUGCAUGGGAGAGCAACCGUUACAUGCUGUCCCAUUGUUCAAGCUCCAUAAUCGGAGUGCUCCCCGGGAUUCUCGUCUGGGCGAUGACUAUAAUAUCCCUCACUGGAUAAACCACAGUUUCUACACAUCCAAAAGCCAGCUCUUUUGUAAUAGUUUCACCCCACGAAUAAAACUGGCAGGAAAGAAGCCUGCCUCUGAGAAAGCAAAAAAUGGCCGUGAUACAUCUCUCGGGAGUCCAAAAGAAUCUGAGAACGCCCUUCCCAUCCAAGUAGAUUAUGACGCCUAUGACGCUCAAGUGUUCAGGCUACCCGGCCCGUCCCGGGCCCAGUGCCUCGCCACCUGCAGGUCUGUGCGAGAGCGAGAAAGUCACAGUCGAAAAAGUGCCAGCUCCUGUGAUGUUUCAUCCAGCCCUUCCCUACCAAGCCGCACACUGCCCACUGAGGAAGUGAGGAGCCAGGCUUCUGACGACAGCUCCCUAGGCAAGAGCGCCAACAUCCUGAUGAUCCCACACCCCCACCUGCACCAGUAUGAAGUCAGCAGCUCCUUGGGUUACACCAGCACUCGAGAUGUCCUGGAGAACAUGAUGGAGCCACCACAGCGAGACUCCAGUGCACCAGGGAGGUUUCAUGUUGGCAGCGCAGAAUCCAUGCUGCAUGUUCGACCUGGUGGAUACACGCCCCAGAGAGCACUGAUUAACCCCUUCGCUCCCUCUCGGAUGCCCAUGAAGCUUACGUCCAACAGAAGGCGCUGGAUGCACACUUUUCCUGUGGGACCAUCCGGAGAAGCCAUCCAGAUCCACCACCAGACCCGACAGAAUAUGGCGGAGCUGCAAGGCAGCGGGCAGAGGGACCCAACUCACUCCUCUGCAGAGCUGCUGGAGUUAGCAUAUCAUGAAGCUGCUGGAAGGCACAGCAAUUCCCGCCAGCCUGGUGACGGCAUGUCCUUCUUGAACUUCAGUGGAACAGAAGAGCUUUCUGUCGGCCUGCUUAGCAACAGUGGUGCAGGUAUGAAUCCUAGGACCCAAAAUAAGGAUUCCCUAGAGGACAGUGUUUCUACCUCUCCAGACCCAAUUCUGACACUGUCUGCUCCCCCUGUAGUGCCAGGCUUCUGUUGCACAGUUGGAGUGGACUGGAAGUCUCUCACUACUCCGGCGUGCCUCCCCCUCACCACCGACUACUUCCCUGACCGCCAGGGCCUGCAGAAUGACUACACAGAGGGCUGUUAUGAUCUCCUUCCAGAAGCAGACAUCGACAGGAGGGACGAAGAUGGUGUGCAGAUGACAGCCCAGCAGGUGUUUGAAGAGUUUAUUUGCCAACGUCUCAUGCAGGGCUACCAAAUCAUAGUGCAGCCCAAGGCACAGAAACCCAAUCCUGCCGUCCCACCCCCGCUGAGCAGUAGCCCACUCUAUAGCCGAGGCCUUGUGUCCCGAAACCGCCUCGAGGAGGAGGACCAGUAUUGGCUGAGUAUGGGCAGAACGUUCCACAAAGUGACGCUGAAGGAUAAGAUGAUCACAGUGACACGAUACCUUCCCAAGUAUCCUUAUGAAUCUGCCCAGAUCCACUACACCUACAGCCUCUGUCCUUCCCACUCAGACUCAGAGUUCGUCUCCUGCUGGGUGGAAUUCUCCCACGAACGGCUGGAGGAGUACAAGUGGAAUUACUUAGAUCAGUAUAUCUGUUCUGCCGGCUCUGAAGACUUCAGCUUAAUUGAGUCCCUGAAGUUCUGGAGGACCCGCUUCCUGCUGCUGCCAGCCUGUGUCACCGCCACCAAGCGCAUCACGGAGGGGGAGGCCCACUGCGACAUCUAUGGAGACAGGCCCCGUGCAGACGAGGACGAGUGGCAACUCCUGGAUGGUUUUAUCCGCUUUGUGGAGGGCUUGAAUCGCAUUCGCAGGCGGCAUCGCUCGGAUCGCAUGAUGCGGAAAGGGACCGCCAUGAAAGGCUUGCAGAUGACCGGGCCCAUUUCCACGCAUUCUCUGGAGUCAACUGCACCCCCGGUGGGGAAGAAGGGAACCUCAGCUCUCUCUGCCCUUUUGGAGAUGGAGGCCAGUCAGAAGUGCCUGGGAGAACAGCAGGCAGCUGUGCAUGGUGGGAAGAGCUCCGCCCAGUCAGCCGAGAGCAGCAGCGUUGCCAUGACUCCCACCUACAUGGACAGCCCACGAAAGGACGGGGCCUUCUUUAUGGAGUUUGUCCGCAGCCCACGCACAGCAUCGUCCGCCUUCUACCCUCAGGUAUCUGUGGACCAAACAGCCACUCCUAUGUUGGACGGCACCAGUUUGGGCAUAUGCACAGGCCAAUCCGUGGACAGAGGCAACAGCCAGACCUUUGGGAACUCCCAGAACAUAGAACAGGGCUACUCCUCCACAAACUCCAGUGACAGCAGCUCUCAGCAGCUGGUGGCAAGCUCCUUGACCUCAUCCUCCACCCUGACAGAGAUCCUGGAAGCCAUGAAGCACCCCUCGACAGGAGUCCAGCUGCUCUCUGAACAGAAGGGCCUCUCACCGUACUGCUUCAUCAGCGCGGAGGUGGUGCACUGGCUGGUGAACCAUGUGGAGGGGAUCCAGACACAGGCGAUGGCCAUCGACAUCAUGCAGAAAAUGCUGGAAGAGCAGCUCAUCACACACGCAUCUGGCGAAGCCUGGCGGACCUUCAUCUACGGCUUCUAUUUCUACAAGAUAGUAACGGACAAAGAUCCCGACCGAGUGGCCAUGCAGCAACCCGCCACCACCUGGCACACAGCAGGAGUGGACGACUUCGCCAGCUUCCAGCGCAAGUGGUUUGAGGUGGCCUUUGUGGCAGAAGAGCUCGUGCACUCUGAGAUUCCUGCCUUUCUCCUGCCCUGGCUGCCCAGCCGGCCAGCCUCCUAUGCAAGUAGGCACAGCUCCUUUAGCCGAAGUUUUGGAGGACGGAGCCAGGCAGCGGCACUUUUAGCUGCCACUGUCCCAGAGCAGAGGACUGUGACCCUGGAUGUUGACGUGAACAACCGCACAGACCGGCUGGAGUGGUGCAGCUGUUAUUACCAUGGCAACUUUUCUCUGAAUGCAGCCUUUGAGAUCAAGCUGCACUGGAUGGCAGUGACCGCAGCAGUACUCUUUGAGAUGGUCCAAGGUUGGCAUCGGAAAGCCACCUCCUGUGGCUUCUUGUUGGUUCCAGUUUUGGAGGGGCCUUUUGCACUGCCCAGUUACCUGUAUGGCGACCCCCUUCGUGCCCAGCUCUUCAUCCCACUCAACAUCAACUGCUUGCUCAAGGAGGGCAGCGAGCACCUUUUUGAUAGCUUUGAACCGGAAACGUACUGGGAUCGAAUGCACCUCUUCCAGGAAGCCAUUGCACACAGGUUUGGGUUUGUACAAGAUAAAUAUUCUGCCUCUGCUUUUAACUUCCCUGCUGAGAACAAGCCUCAGUAUAUCCACGUUACAGGAACAGUGUUUCUGCAGCUGCCCUACUCCAAGCGCAAGUUCUCAGGGCAGCAGCGGCGGCGGCGGAACUCCACCAGCUCCACCAACCAGAACAUGUUCUGCGAGGAGCGGGUCGGCUACAACUGGGCUUACAACACCAUGCUCACCAAAACAUGGCGCUCCAGCGCCACAGGGGAUGAAAAGUUUGCUGAUCGGCUGCUGAAGGACUUCACGGACUUCUGCAUCAACCGUGACAACCGGCUGGUCACGUUCUGGACAAGUUGCCUGGAGAAGAUGCAUGCCAGUGCCCCGUGAGGCCAGGCCGCACCAGGGUUAGAAGGCUGUGCCUGUGCUGGGGGAAGAUAUGCCAAUCCCCUCAUCUGUGAAAUGGGAAGCUAUCUCCCCGGGUGGUUGGAGAAUCAGAAGACACAUGUAGCUGGGCACGGUUGGCCCACACCUGUAAUCCCAACACUUUGGGAGACAGAUGGGAGGAUCGCUUGAGCCCAAGAGUUUGAGAUCAGCCUGAGCAACAUAGGAAGACCGCGUCGCUACAAAAAAAAUAAAUAAAUAAAAAAUUAGCUUGGGGCCGGGUGCAGUGACUCACGCCUGUAAUCCUAACACUUUGUGACGCCAAGGUGGGCGGAUCAUGUGAGGUCAGGAAUUUGAUACUAGCCUGGCCAACAUGAUGAAACCCCAUCUCUAUGAAAAAUACAAAAAUUAGCCGGGCGUGUUGGUGUGCACCUAUAAUCCCAGCUACUCGGGAGGCUGAGGCAGGAGAACCAUUUGAACCUGGGAGAUGGAGGUUGCAGUGAGCCAAGAGAGUGCUACUGCACUCCAGCCUGGGCGACAGAGCAAGACUCCGUCUAAGAAAAAACAAAAGUUAGCUGGACAUGGUGGCUCGCACCUGUCAUCCCAGUUACUUGAGAGGCUGAGGUGGGAAGAUCGCUUGAACCCAGGAGGUCUGCAAUGAGCUGUGAUUGUACCACUGCACUCCAGCCUGGGUGACAGAGCAAGACCUUAUCUCAAAAAAAAAAAAGGCCACGUAUAUGAAAGGUCUUACAAAAAGACAAUAAGCAAAUGUCUGCUCGCAAACAGUUGAACAGCUGCUCUCACAUUCCUGGAUGGGAGUCUCCAUUGUGCUCUCAAGCCAUUGAGUGAUGGUGCUGGACACAGCAAACGCUGGCCUGUUCAGAUCACAUACGAACUGAACAAUCACUUGUGAUCCUCAGUGUCCCGUGUGUGAGGCCAACAAUUGCCCCUGCAAUUGCCCAGCAGAAGAAGGCCCAGAGAAUGAUUUGGUGGAAGAAGGGGCAGCUGGUGAGUUAGGAUGCUGGGUCACUCCCCCAUCAGAGCGGGACCUGAAACUCUCCUGCCCAUGAGCCCCAGUCUCCUUGCUGCCUACUUUCCUGAUUCCUCCUCUCUGGUGGGCACCUCCUUCCACCCACUUGUCCAAGCCAGAAUCUGGUAGUCAAACUCGAUGCCUUCCUCCUCCAUCAUCCUCCAGUCCUCCUAUCCAUUCAUUCUGUCUCUCAGACCCAUCCACCUUUUUGUAGGUACAAAGCUCAGCCCAUAGGGAAUCUGUGGUUUGGUCAGACAUGGAGGACAUGUGCAUGCCGAUCAGAAGCCUAUCACCAGAUUAUACAGGCCAGAUGCGGUGGCUCACGACUGUAAUCCCAGCACUUUGGAAGGCCAAGAUCAUCUGAAGUCAGGAGUUCGAGACCAGCCUGGGAAUCAGAAACCCUGCGCCCAGGUUCAACCUGCUGUUUCUCCACCAGGUGACCCUGCAUAGGCUUUUGAAACCACCCUGACCGUCAUCCGUCUAGCGACAAGAUGGAAAUCAUCAAGACUUCAUUACACAACUCGAGAAGUCGGUGUGAGAACGUGGGAGAUAAAGGUUGUUGGGCUGGGCGCGAUGGCUCAUGCUUGUAAUUCCAGCACUUUGGGAGGCCAAAGCAGGCAGAUCACUUGAGGCCAGGAAUUCGAGACUAGCCUGGCCAUCAUGGCAAAAACCCGUCUCGUCUCAAAAUACAAAAAUUAGCCAGGUGUGGUGGCGCACGCCUGUAAUCCUGGCUCCUCAGGAGGCUAAGGCUGAGAAUCACUUGAACCCGGGAGGCGGAGAUUGCAGUGAGCCUAGAUCGCACCACUGCACUCCAGCCUGGGUGACAGAGGGAGACUGUGUCUCAAAAAAAAAAGUGGGGGGGGGGCGCGUUGUGACAGCAUUUUGAGAACUGAGUCUGAGGAAGAGUCACUGUUACUCUGGUCUGACAGUAGUGCCAACUACGUGUGAUCCUAAGUAAGUCCAUUCACCUCACUCGACCUCAAGUUUGAGGGUGCAGUGAUAACGGCGUUUCUCCAGCUUUCUUCGAGGGAUCAUGGUGAGGACCCGACGCAGUCAGCUUUGCAAAGGUGUCUGAGUGGUGCAGGGUGCUCCCUCAUUUUAAGGCAGUGCUGUAAAUGCUCCCGUAACGGAGGCCAUUCUGGUUUUCUAUUUUAUUUUAUCUUCAGACAGGGUCUUGCUCUGUCACCCAGGCUGGAGUGCAGUGGCGUGAUCGCAGCUCACUACAACCUCUGCCUCCCAGGCUCAGUUGAUCCUUCCACCACAGCUUCCCGAGUAGCUGGGACUACAGGCACAUGCUACCACAUCCCACUAAUUUUUUGUAGAGAACAGGGUCUCAUUUUGUUUUCCAGGCUGUCUCAAACUCUUGGGCUCAAGUGAUCCACCCAACUUGGGCCUGCCAAAGUGCUGGAAUUACAGGCAUGAGCCACCAUGCUCGGCUUAAACAUUUUGCUUUGAACAAGCCCAGCAGGUGAACAAGGAACAUGAUAUACCACUAGCUAGUCUGAAGCUUGGGAAAAGAAAGCAGAAAAAAGAUAACAGCAAGAGCUUACUUGUAUAUUGAACCCCAAACAAGUGUGUGUCCACCAACCUGCUAGGGCCUGGGGAUAGCCCUGAUGGAGGUGAGUGAGGACCCCCACUUCUCAGAGGAGAAACUGAGUCUCAGGGAAGUUCAGCGACUUGCCUGGGGUUACUGAGCACACAGAGCAGAGGAGGGAUUGAACCUGUCUGCAUUCUCCCACCCCCUCCUAAUCCCCCCCAGCCAGGCUGGGCUUUUCCUCACAAUGAGAUGGGGCAUGGGAGACAGAAACCCAGUGAGAGUGGCCUCUGUGGAGGGGCAGCCGUGCAGGGAAGGAGGCAGGGUGGGGCCUGGGGCCAAGCUCCCUGCACAGCCAUGAGAGCCUGCACAGCCAUGAGAGCCAUGUCCCUGGUCCCGACUCCCCAGGGUCUCCUGCUCCUGGUCACUGCACUGUUGGUGGUUGGCGCUGGGAGAACAGGAGCACUCCCUGGGUAGUCUGACACACAGGAUGUGUCUCGCCUCAAAGCAGAAGUGAAACCGGCACAGUUCUCCUUGUGAGACACCCCCUCGCCACCUUCGUCUCUCUUCUGCAGGAACCAGGACAGUGGCUGCCACCACUGGAAGCCAGAUUGGAGGACAACAGAGAAACUGACCAGCUCUGGGGUCUGACCCAUGCAGGGAGCUGGGUGUUCACCCCCCACUGCACACAUCUUGGGAUUGCUUGAUGCAUGCCCCCUUGGGCUGCGUGUCACAGUGAUCACAAGAUACUGUUCCUAUUAGGUUUUAUGAUGUAGACUCUAAGGGAGCUGCCCCUUUAUACAAGUCCCUGUGUCCCAGUGGAAUCACAGCCAGCCCAUCGCCACGGGAGGGAGAUUUGUUUGUGGUUUAUUCGCUCAUUUGUUGUUCACAGAUUUAGUCACCAUGCUUUCCACACAUAUGUAUUAACAGUCACCCAUGUGCCAAGCAUCGCGUAGAUGCAGGGGGAAGGAUAUUAAACAAAAAAUUACACAAAUAA